RNAcentral lists this ribosomal RNA (253 nucleotides) under uncultured bacterium. RNAcentral describes it as "partial 16S ribosomal RNA". It matches the Rfam family "Bacterial small subunit ribosomal RNA", at positions 524 to 776 of the family's 1533-position model. The record is from RNAcentral.
UACGUAGGCCGCGAGCGUUGUUCGGAAUUACUGGGCGUAAAGCGUGUGUAGGCGGUGCUCUAAGUUCGGUGUGAAAUCUCCUGGCUCAACUGGGAGGGUGCGCCGGAAACUGGAGUGCUUGAGCGUGGGAGAGGAAAGCGGAAUUCCUGGUGUAGCGGUGAAAUGCGUAGAUAUCAGGAGGAACACCUGUGGUGUAGACGGCUUCCUGGGCCAGCACCGACGUUCAGGCACGAAAGCGUGGGGAGCAAACAGG